Molecule: long non-coding RNA, 1506 nt
Filed under: Setaria viridis
Lineage: Eukaryota; Viridiplantae; Streptophyta; Magnoliopsida; Poales; Poaceae
Description: long non-coding RNA (SVIR_LNC009037)
Source: RNAcentral
AUACUUGGCCGGCCUCCUAUGAGCCAGCUGAGUUGUUAUUGAUUGAGGACGCCUCACAGAUGCUUUCCAGUAGCAGGCCGAUAGGCAUUAUUUAAACCCUUCGUAGGCACUAACCCAGCAAUAGCAUCACAACGUUUUGUGACAAACGUAACACACAGAGUGACGGAGAGACAAACUACAAUGUCGGCAGGUUCCAAGAGCGUCCUAGUUCCCACUGAUGCCGAGCUGCUGCAGGCACAAGCAGAUCUAUGGCGCCACAGCCUCUACUACCUCACCUCCAUGGCGUUCAAGUGUGCCGUCGAGCUCGGCGUCCCAACUGCCAUCCAUAACCUGGGAGGGGCUGCAUCGGUGAAGGACCUGGUAACAACACUAUCCCUCCCGGAAACUAAGCUGCCGUUCCUGCGCCGUGUGAUGCGGUUGCUGGUCACCUCUGGCAUCUUUGCAUCUGAAAGCAGCGCCGAUGUGGAGACCUACCGCCUCAACCCUCUCUCCUGGCUCCUGGUGGAAGGUGUGGAUGCUGAAGACCACACCAACCAGAGAAGUUUCGUGUUAGCCACUGUCUCGCGGCAUUAUGUUGAAGCAGCGAUGUCCCUUGCUGACUGGUUCAAGAAGGAUUUGGCGCCCCCUCUCCCAUCGCCGUUCGAGGAACUACAUGGUGUGCCACUCCUUCAUGAGAAAACACCACUCUUGGACAAAGAUCUUCACGACGUUGUUCUUGAAGGUUUGGCAGCACAUGACAAUUUGGCAAUAGGAACAAUUAUGCGGGAGUGCCAUGAUCUUUUCCGGGGGGUGCAGUCGCUAACUGACUGCUGUGGGGGAGAUGGCACCACGGCGAGGGCUAUCGUCAGGGCCCACCCUAACAUCAAGUGCACCGUGCUUGACCUACCAGAAGUCAUCAAGACUGCACCAGCUGAUGGUGUCAUAAACUACGUUGCGGGUGACAUGUUCAAAUCUGUCCCGCCAUCUCAAGCUGUGUUGCUCAAGGUAUGAAGUGGUAAAAAAGAUUAACUAGGGGCUAUUCUUCCAUGCACGGUAUAUUGUUGAAAAAAAGUUAUAUGAGCAUCCAUUUGUGCUUUUGAAAUUGACACUUGUAUUAAGCAUUAUCAUUAUAUCCCCAUCUUAUUAUUAGAACUUCACUAAAUGCAAUAUAGAUUUAUGAUUUUUGACAACUUUCUGUAGCUUGUACUGCAUCACUGGAGCGAUGAGGAUUGUGUGAAGAUCUUAGAACAAUGCAAGAAGGCAAUUCCUUCCCGAGAAGAGGGAGGGAAGGUGAUCAUUAUAGAAAUAGUUCUUGGCCCUUCUUUAGGUCCAAUAAUGUUUGAAGCCCAACUCCUGCUGGACAUGCUCAUGAUGGUGAAUACCAGAGGCAGGCAGAGGGAUGAAAAUGACUGGCGUGAAAUUUUCAUGAAAGCAGGGUUCAGUGACUAUAAGAUUGUUAAGAAAGUGGGAACUCGUGGUGUUAUCGAGGUCUACCCAUAAGACUACUGCAGUCCUAAAUGAAGAAUA